CAGGCAGUGCCGAUGCUCCCACAGCAGUCCUCCUGCUUGGUGAGGCCGGGCAGGGGGUUGCUGCCACACUAUGGGGACGGGUGGCAGAGGAGUCACAGAGUACCAGACGCCACUCCCCUCCUACCUGAGGCCCUCCUCCCCAGCCUAUGGAUCCUCAGUUUUAUGUAAUGCUCAUGAGACCCUGAGAGAUGGCAGAGUGGUCCCCUGGGGACAGUGUAUUCACUUACUAGCUGCUUGGGCAGCGUGUCCUGGAAGCAGCGGCCCAGGGGUUUCUGGGAGAGUGGUCGUUGGUGCUGAGGCUUGGAGUGUGGCAGCAGGUGCUGGGAAGGGGCAGGGCCCUCGGCUUUUGGCCCCUCGAUGCGGUGCACCUGGACAGAGGCCUCAGGCGGGUGGUGGACUCGAACAUUCACCACGGGGGGCGGGGCCUGCACUGAGAGGGGCACGGUGGCCUCAGGGCUGCUCAGUGCCAGGGUCGCCCAGCUGGGCUGCUCCAAGGCUGGCCUCUGCCCAGAUCCAGCCCCAUGCCAGCCCCUCUCCCCCGCCCAGAAUUUGCCCUUUGCUUGGUACCUUCUGCUGAUAUCUGUCCUGGCCCCAGGGGCACCAGGAAAGCCGCAUGCUGGGCAGGAGGCCCCUCCCCCUGCCCAGGAGGAUCGGCGAUCACCUGCACCGCGUAGAUGGCAUGCUUGCUGGCCACGGACUCGCCCUCUGGAACCAGGGGCUGCAGGGUGCCUGUGGACCCCGCCCGGGCCAGCCCUGGACCUGAGCCUCCUCCUGCACCGCCAGCUCCUCCAGCAGGCACCUGGCAGAAGCGGCCGGUGAAGUCGGGGGGACACAGGCACUGGUUUCGGGAGGAGCACUGGCCACCGUUCAUGCAGGGCAGAGGGCACACCACUGAGAAGGGGACAUGAGGUUCACAGCCAGGAAGCGCUGCCUGCCUAGCUGCACAGAACAGCACCUUUUUCUGCUGCCCCAAACCUCCAAUGAACUCAUCUCCCCUCCUCCCCAUGGCCCCCGCCCCUCCCCCAGCUCUUGCCAUGCCACCCAGACCCUCUGUCUCCCUGCUUCAUCCUACCUCUCCACAAUCCCAGCAUCCCCAGAGAAACCUACUUCAGGCAGAGCUCUGGCAGAACCCACACCAGCUCCAGACCUUGCUUGGACAUUCAAGGCUCUCCACAGCCCAGAACCCUACCAGGCCCCUCUGGUCUUUCCAUGUGCACUCUACAUCCCAGGGCUCACCUCCCUCCUGCCUGCCUUUCAUUCCACCCCAGGGCUCUGUCUCCCAUCUCCCCAUGUUCAAACCUGACCCUUCUGAGCUCAGCUUCUUCCCCAGGAAGGGAUCCCUUCUCACAUCCCACCUACCAUGUUCACUCUCCUGAGUUUCCUUGCUUAGUUAUAGUCAUGUCAGUCUCCCCCACUCUAUAGGGUACUUUGGAG
Molecule: long non-coding RNA, 1434 nt
Filed under: Heterocephalus glaber (naked mole-rat)
Lineage: Eukaryota; Metazoa; Chordata; Mammalia; Rodentia; Bathyergidae
Description: lncRNA (ENSHGLG00100048665.1)
Source: RNAcentral